Long non-coding RNA from Engraulis encrasicolus (European anchovy), 1684 nucleotides. RefSeq lists it as uncharacterized. The record is from RefSeq and is a predicted model, not a curated record. NCBI's taxonomy places the organism in Eukaryota, Metazoa, Chordata, Actinopteri, Clupeiformes, Engraulidae. The transcript is spliced from 2 exons.
CCGAAUGUCAACCAACCGAGAUUACACAAUCUUCGAUAUGGUCACCAAAUGUUUUGGGACUGUCAUUUAUGUUAUGCCUACACUUUGGAAUUAGAUCAGAGUCUUGUUGUUACACAGGUAUAUUUGAUUUACCUCAACUGUACCCUGUACUUAACUUUACUCGGUCUACUCAAGCAGAUACAGGGGGCAUGAGAACCCAGUGCGUAUCACAAAAGCCACCACAACGGCUCCUUGGGAUAUGCAUAUGAAUUUAAAUACUACCAGGCUGGCCGCACCGACCGCAGUGAAUCCCGGGCACUGGCGACCAAAAAACUCAUCUAGCACCUUUAGCUACUUUUUGGUGCAUCUGGCGACUUUUUAAAAAGUGCAUUUUCAGUGACAAAUUCAUCAUUUUUCCACAUAAUUCUGACUCUGCGCUGCCGUCAGAAGCGUUUCCCACGGUUAAGCAGGGCUGCAGAUUAGCUCUGAUCUCCAAAAAGUAGCUAGCACCGCCCAUUUGUACUGUGGACGAAGGCAUGUGGGCACGUUUUCUGUAGAUCAGCGCGCCGUGCGUGACAUUGUGACGUCAUACGUAACGUCAUGACGUCAUCUAGCGACCUCUAGCGACUUUUCAGCAAGCCCAUAGCGACUUUGGCUGAUUUUCUUUUGGCAACACUGGCCCCGCCCCGGUGGCGGUAAGCCGCAAGGUGUUUGACGUGCUCAAAAGGUGGCUGGCAGGGCGUGUUAGAAUGGCAGGAUGGCAGGGGCCAUUUGUAUUUUCAGGACGGUCCAACGGCCGCGCUCCCGCCCUGCUCGAAUUCUUCCGCCUCGUGUGGACGGAGCUGGGCCUCCCCGGCACCCCACCGACCUUCCGGGCCUUGAGGGACUCCCUCGCAACCCAUGUGAGUACAAGGACGCUAGCAUGCAGGUAUUACUGAAUGUAUGUAUUUUUAAUGGCUGUAUGUAUGUAUGUAUGUAUGCUCCAUCUCUUAGGCUGUGAAGAGAGUGGACCCGAACGAGCAGCCGAAAAUGGCUCGGCAAAUGUGCCAUGAACUGUCAACGAACCGCCGUUUUUACCAGGGGUUCAACGACACCGACGAGGUCCUUCACAUACGAAAGAUUUUCAUGGCGCAGAUGUUGAGGCCGGAGGAAAUGGCCCAGCUCGAAGAGAAAAUCGAGCUCCCGACGCCCCAGGACCCUCGCCCGGGAGCACACAGUUGGCAGUCCUGGACCAUAAUGAAAAUGUUGGCAGACGACCGGCUACCACUAAAGACGGUGAACUCCGUUGGAAGUACCCAUACUCAAGACAGUCUGGGGACUGGGUGUCAAAGCCCAUCUAUGAGAAGACUACACAGAGCUUCAGGAAGGACCUAAUGGAGCGCGUGCUGGAGAUGAGGGAUGACCCUACCAUAGUGUACACUGAGCGCUACAAGACCCCCCAUGGCAGAAGACUCCUCCAAAACAUCGCUCCGGUGCAGAGGCCUGAGAAAAGUCUAUUAGUGGCUAGACGAAGCAGCCGUUUUGGCAGUCACAGAACCAAGCCCUACUAGUCUAGCAAAGAUUUCUUGGAUAUGGCCUAAUGACGCCAUAGUAACAAGGCCACUUCAACUCAAGAACACUAUUUCUUAUUAUUUUCUUUGCUGUCAUUACGCCUACUGAAAGAUGUACCACAAUGACAUUUCAAAUAAAAUUCACAUACAAACUG